This is a long non-coding RNA of Mesocricetus auratus (golden hamster), 906 nucleotides long. RefSeq lists it as uncharacterized. The transcript has 3 exons. NCBI's taxonomy places the organism in Eukaryota, Metazoa, Chordata, Mammalia, Rodentia, Cricetidae. The record is from RefSeq and is a predicted model, not a curated record.
AGGCUGGGCAGAAGGACUUUGUAGAAAGUGGAAAAGAGUUUUGUGUCCAAACAGACAUGAUGGAAGCCAAUGGAUGGAUGGAGUGGGAUGGCCAAGAGCUCAUCAGGUCCCUGUGUCAUUCAGUGAUGCUGUGUCAGGACCUGGUUCCCAGGAUGAUGCCGUGAGACUUGGGGCUGACUGUGGGGGUGCUGGGCUCGCUGGGGACCCGCAGGGUCUAGAAGGCCAUGGACCAGGCCACUUGAUGGGGUGACCAGCCUGCAGAACUGGGUCCAAGGCCUGGAGAUAGGGCCCAGCACUAGGCAUCUGAGGAAUGAGGCUCGCAGGCCCUGGGGAUUCUGCCUGCAGUGACAGCCCUAACAUUAGCCAGAGCCCUCGACGCCUGGAGAAAUGGCAUUGCCCACCCUGAGAGAGAGAGUCAGAUAGAUGUGAGGACGACCACAUAAACAUCAUGAAAGCCUGGGGCAGCUGUUGCUCAUGGCCCGCCAGCCGGCCGUGUUCCCUUUCCUCCCGAGAGCCGCCCUGCCUUGGGACUCACCCAUCUCCAAAGAAAAAUAACCCAGAGAAAUUAGCCCUCGGCUGGAAACGAAGUGGGGAUCAGAUGAUUGCUGAUCGGAGCAAAUGUUUAAAUCGAAUGAGUCAAACGGGACAUUAUUAAAUAAAGCGUGUUUAAAUUUUCUCAAGCAGCAAGCUCACUGGAAGACUGUUUUAAACCCGAUAUUAAGGAUCCGGCUGCCUGUGUGUCUCAAGCUUUGUCCGUGUGCAGGGAAAUAUGCUCUUGACAGUGGUCAAAAGCACACAGCCUGCUCCUCUGCAGGAGUAUUUUCCUCUGGGCAUAAAAUAAAGGCAGAAAGGCUUCUAGGCAACUAAUGAAACUGUUAGUGUGGCAUAAUAAAUGGAAGGCAAGUG